GACGAACGCUGGCGGCGUGCCUAAUACAUGCAAGUCUAAGGGGGUUGGUUCCUUCGGGAGCCGAUUCACUGGCGCACGGGUGAGUAACGCGUAAAUAAUCUGCCUCUGGGUCUGGCAUAACUUCGGGAAACCGGGGCUAAUUCCAGAUGACACCGCAAGGUCAAAGCUUUGGCGCCCAGAGAUGAGUUUGCGUCUGAUUAGCUAGUUGGCGGGGUAAUGGCCCACCAAGGCGACGAUCAGUAGCCGGUCUGAGAGGAUGAUCGGCCACAUUGGGACUGAGACACGGCCCAGACUCCUACGGGAGGCAGCAGUAAGGAAUAUUGCGCAAUGGACGAAAGUCUGACGCAGCAACGCCGCGUACAGGAUGAAGGCCCUUUGGGUUGUAAACCUCUGUCACCGGGGGAANAAACGCUUCAGGUUAAUAUCCUGAAGCCUGACUUAACCCGGAGAGGAAGCAGUGGCUAACUCUGUGCCAGCCG
This 479-nucleotide ribosomal RNA is filed under the name uncultured bacterium. Its description in RNAcentral is "bacterial SSU rRNA". It matches the Rfam family "Bacterial small subunit ribosomal RNA", at positions 28 to 514 of the family's 1533-position model. The record is from RNAcentral.